AAGUGCAAUUGGCAAGCAAAAGGAAAUGCUGGACGAGGAGAGGAUGAUGAGGCACCUAAUUGUGGGCUUGGGAAGUGACUUGUCGACCCUGCCCUGAGAGCCUGCUCGAGAAGGUUGGCAAACGCUCCUCGUCCUGCUGUGAAUCCCUCAGGCUUGUGAGGGACGACAGAUGGUUGAGCUAAACUCGGAGCCACCCCUCUACAUAAUGAAGAAAAAUGACCAGCCUCCUGUAGCUGGUAAUCACCCACCCCCUGGGCGACGGAGCACAGCAAGCCCUGGUCCUCGUGUUCCAGCAGGCACAUUUCAGAGCCAGGACGGCUACACAGAAGCCAGGCCUUCCUGUCUCUGUGCUACUCUUUGGCACCGAAACGAUUUCAACGGGACGAUGGAUUUAUAAGACGAUGUCUUUCUUAUUAUAACAGGUGCCUUUUCAAUUUUUUGAUUCUAAAGAGGUUUGCAAUGUCUGGAAUUUUCCUGACAGCAUGCUUUUCAGCAUGGUCUUAAGUUUCAGUUUUUAAAAAAACCUGAGAACCAGGCUCUUUACAUCCAUCAUAUCAUUUACUACUGUAACGGCUACUAGGGCUGCGUUCCUGAGCUCUUCCAUGGGUUAGGCCCCAUGCUGAGUACUUUACCUGGAUCCUCUGAGCUCUUCACAACAACCCCAUGGAGUAGGACAUGGGUACCUCCCGUUCUCAGAUGAGGAAACUGUCCCUGGCUCAGGUUCACUCAGCUCUGAGUGGUCGAGUCCAGCCGUGACCCUUGUCUCUGGGGAAUUUGCACUCCCAGCCAUCACAUCUGCAGCCCUACAAGAUAAAUAGAUACAAAUGCUACCAAUUUUAAAGAAAACGAGACUGAGGCUUAGAAAGGCAUAGAAUCCAGGACUCAGGUCCCUCUGACUUUAAAGCCACGUUGCUCUCCGAGGCGCCAGUUGCCUCUGGUCAUACCUUGUGAACAAAGCAUUACUUUCAAUGAAUUACUCUAUCGCUACCUGACCCUGAAUCCUGGGAUCUUCAGAGUGAGCU
Molecule: long non-coding RNA, 1022 nt
Filed under: Ailuropoda melanoleuca (giant panda)
Lineage: Eukaryota; Metazoa; Chordata; Mammalia; Carnivora; Ursidae
Description: lncRNA (ENSAMEG00000027464.1)
Source: RNAcentral